CCUACGGGAGGCAGCAGUGGGGAAUAUUGCACAAUGGGGGAAACCCUGAUGCAGCGACGCCGCGUGAGUGAAGAAGUCUUUCGUUAUGUAAAGCUCUAUCAGCAGGGAAGAAAAUGACGGUACCCGCGUAAGAAGCCCCGGCUAACUACGUGCCAGCAGCCGCGGUAAUACGUAGGGGGCAAGCGUUGUCCGGAUUUACUGGGUGUAAAGGGAGCGUAGACGGCAGUGCAAGUCUGGUGUGAAAGGCGGGGGCUCAACCCCCGGACUGCUCUGGAAACUGUAGGGCUGGAGUGCAGGAGAGGUAAGGGGAAUUCCUGGUGUAGCGGUGAAAUGCGUAGAUAUCAGGAGGAACACCAGUGGCGAAGGCGGCUUGCUGGACUGUAACUGACGUUGAGGCUCGAAAGCGUGGGGAGCAAACAGGAUUAGAUACCCCAGUAGUC
Molecule: ribosomal RNA, 440 nt
Filed under: uncultured bacterium
Lineage: Bacteria
Description: partial 16S ribosomal RNA
Rfam family: Bacterial small subunit ribosomal RNA
Source: RNAcentral